RNAcentral lists this long non-coding RNA (237 nucleotides) under Solanum tuberosum (potato). RNAcentral describes it as "long non-coding RNA (STUB_LNC010071)". Lineage: Eukaryota; Viridiplantae; Streptophyta; Magnoliopsida; Solanales; Solanaceae. The record is from RNAcentral.
CUAUAAUGAAGAUUUCUUGGUCUGCAAAUAAUUCAGGUAUAAAAAAAAGUGAAUUUACAUUCAUGGUGACAACUUCUACCAAAAAUAAACUUUCAAAAAGCAAAAAUUAACAUAACCAGACUAAAUUGAGGAAGAACAACACAUAAACAUCCAAAAGAUAAGAACUUUGACCACAAAUCUUCACAAUUUUACUUUGAUUUGCAAAGAAAUUAGGGCUAGGGCUCCGCUGAUGUUGAG